Molecule: long non-coding RNA, 1049 nt
Organism: Magnolia sinica
Lineage: Eukaryota; Viridiplantae; Streptophyta; Magnoliopsida; Magnoliales; Magnoliaceae
Exons: 2
Source: RefSeq, a predicted model, not a curated record
GGAACAUGAAAUGGCCUGAAUUCACCAAAAAUAUAUCCAUCAAUCAGUAAUGAGUAUCAUCCAAAUAUCCAAUCAAUCUGAUUUUGGGUUCACGACUAGUUACAGUAAUUCCCAGAGUCUAGACUAUUUAACUUGACGUAUGUGCUGCUGCAUGUGAACGGAUGCGAUUCCACAUACUUGUGAGCUUAACGUCUGUUUUAUGUUUACUUCAUGUGUUUUUAGACUUGUUUAGUUGCAUAUGAUAGUUGGCAUCAUAGCAUGUAUAAUGUUUGAUUAUAGUAGCUUAGUUUUUGUUUGUGCAUGGAGAACUUGUUGAGAAGCCAAUGUGUCUGGAUCAGUUUGCAGUCAUUCUAUGAUUUGAAGCUCAGAUUGGAUGAGUAUAGUAAUUUCACAUCUUGAGUUUGAAAUUUAAUUGUGUUAAUUAUAUUCUUAUAAAGAGUUAUCUAUUUGGUAUGACUUAAGGAAAUUUAAUUGAGAAUUCUUGCCAUAUAAUCUUUGGCCAUUUUUUUUUUUCCAGGCAAUUGAUUUAUAAUUUUUUCUUAACCAUCUUUUGUAGGACGUUGAUUGACAGAUUAGGAAAUUCGAUCUGUAAGAUUUUCGGAGCAUCUUCCAUCUAUGGCAGUGCCUAUCAAAUCAAAGUUUGGAUUUUAGAAGUAUCAUCCCCACUUGUAACAAGCAUCAUCAAGAUACUUGGACCGAAUGCCCUAGGAACUUGUACUCCCUGUUCUAUCCAUGAAUAGUUUCUAAAGUUAGACAUUUUUCUCACAGCAGAGAGUGCGAUGAUCUGCACAUGCAAAGUAACCAGAGAAAAUGAAGAAUGGUGGAAUGGUGAUGAAAUGUUUGGAUGAUAUCUUGUAAUUGUAAAAGGAGGGCAUGGAUAUUUUGUUUCAAAUAUUUUGAUAUGUAACCAUGUGCUAAUAUUUGUUAUAUGUUCUGUACUUUAAUUCAUAGAAACUGUUCAAUUAAGGUUUGAUUUAUUUCACUAUAGGCAUUGUCUGCCUGUAAUAUGUUAGUUAAAAACUGAAAUAGGAAGCAAUUUCUUUACAGUA